RNAcentral lists this ribosomal RNA (458 nucleotides) under uncultured Sphingobacteriales bacterium. Its description in RNAcentral is "bacterial SSU rRNA". It matches the Rfam family "Bacterial small subunit ribosomal RNA", at positions 923 to 1382 of the family's 1533-position model. Lineage: Bacteria; Pseudomonadati; Bacteroidota; Sphingobacteriia; Sphingobacteriales. The record is from RNAcentral.
ACACAAGCGGAGGAGCAUGUGGUUUAAUUCGAUGAUACGCGAGGAACCUUACCUGGGCUUAAAUGUAGAGUGCAUUUUUUAGAGAUAGAAAUUCCCUUCGGGGCUUUCUGCAAGGUGCUGCAUGGUUGUCGUCAGCUCAUGCCGUGAGGUGUCGGGUUAAGUCCCAUAACGAGCGCAACCCUUAUCGUUAGUUGCCAGCUGGUAAAGCAGGGGACUCUAGCGAAACUGCCACCGUAAGGUGAGAGGAAGGUGGGAUGACGUCAAAUCAGCACGGCCCUUAUGUCCAGGGCUACACACGUGUUACAAUGGCCGGCACAGAGGGCAGCUACCUGGUGACAGGAUGCUAAUCUCGAAAACCGGUCUCAGUUCGGAUCGAAGUCUGCAACUCGACUUCGUGAAGCUGGAUUCGCUAGUAAUCGCGCAUCAGCCAUGGCGCGGUGAAUACGUUCCCGGGCCUU